RNAcentral lists this ribosomal RNA (960 nucleotides) under Metasiro americanus. RNAcentral's name for it is "eukaryotic LSU rRNA". The stretch from base 575 to 728 matches the Rfam family "5.8S ribosomal RNA". The record is from RNAcentral. Lineage: Eukaryota; Metazoa; Arthropoda; Arachnida; Opiliones; Neogoveidae.
CCGAUUGAAUGAUUUAGUGAGGUCUUCGGACUGGUGCUCGGAGCGGCUUUCGGGUCGCGCCGGUGUACCGGAAAGAUGACCAAACUUGAUCAUUUAGAGGAAGUAAAAGUCGUAACAAGGUUUCCGUAGGUGAGCCUGCGGAAGGAUCAUUACCGACGAAUAGUCACGGCUGUGACAAACCGUCAAAUAUUUUUGUCUCUUAUGUGACCGACGAAGAUAGCUGCGUGUCCGGGACGUUUAUCUCGGCGCCGGCAAUGUUGGUCCGCAAAUAACAUUUCGUUCGGGUACCCUUUUUCCCGCAGAUGGUGAGCCUCCCCGGUGAGGCGUUUGAGACGCGAUCUCGAACUCUGCGGGGGUGUUCGUUUCCGAGAGGAAACGUUCGCUAUGGAGAAUGAGCGACAGACAGUCGUCUCCCGGACUUGGGGAACACGCUGGUCAAUGGCCCGGGGAGAGCCCACCGACGUCCACAGACGGAGGUGCCUUCGUGUUCCCCACAAUCCCACAAUCUCCUCAACCUUUUUCACUUUGUCACCGAUGUCACCGACAGUUACUUAAAAAAAUGUACAAAUCUGAACACUAUGAGCGGUGGAUCACUCGGCUCGCGGGUCGAUGAAGAACGCAGCCAGCUGCGAGACUUGGUGUGAAUUGCAGGACACAUUGAGCACUGAUCUUUCGAACGCACAUUGCGGCCCCGAGUCAUUCCCGGGGCCACGCCUGUCUGAGGGUCGGAUCUAUAUGUAGUCCGAGAAGGGCUGGUGUGACCGAUAUCCUCGACCUGGCUCGGAGGACGGUCUGAAAAUGAGUCUACGGGCCAAUGUGAAAAGUGUGUACUUUCCAGCGCGAAAUGAGAAUCUGUUCUUUCAUACCGUCGCUGGUUUGACUCCUUUCCAUUUACGGCAGAACUGACGUUUUUAUAUAUAUUUAUGUCGACCUCAGAUCAGACGAGACUACCCGCUGAAU